UACGGGGGGGGCAAGCGUUGUUCGGAAUUACUGGGCGUAAAGGGCUCGUAGGUGGCCAACUAAGUCAGACGUGAAAUCCCCAGGCUCAACUUGGGAACUGCGUCUGAUACUGGAUGGCUUGAAUUCGGGAGAGGGAUGCAGAAUUCCAGGUGUAGCGGUGAAAUGCGUAGAUAUCUGGAGGAAUACCGGUGGCGAAGGCGGCAUCCUGGACCGAUAUUGACACUGAAUCGCGAAAGCUAGGGGAGCAAACGGG
This 253-nucleotide ribosomal RNA is filed under the name uncultured bacterium. RNAcentral's name for it is "partial 16S ribosomal RNA". It matches the Rfam family "Bacterial small subunit ribosomal RNA", at positions 524 to 776 of the family's 1533-position model. The record is from RNAcentral.